GAUCUGCUCCUAGGCAGCCGCGGUCCUCAGUCCCAACUGGCCGUAUUGCAUCUGGGGCUAUAACACUCACCGAGGUGAGCCACCUUCCCCAAACCUUUAUCCGACCGUCAAAACUGAUGCUGGCCUCCACGCACAGACUAUUGACCCAAGCAGAAGCAAGGAUAGUCUGCGCAGGAAGUCUGAUCUCAAGCGCUUCCCUUUCAACAAUUUCACGUACUGUUUAACUCUCUUUUCAAAGUUCUUUUCAUCUUUCGAUCACUCUACUUGUUCGCUAUCGGUCUCUGGCCAAUAUUUAGCUUUAGAAGAAAUUUACCUCCCAUUUAGAGCUGCAUUCCCAAACAACUCGACUCUUCGAAAACGGUUCACAUAGCAACAGACACCUGAUCAUUCACGGGAUUCUCACCCUCCAUGACGCCGCGUUCCAGCGGACUUGAACCAGGGCUGCCACCGAACUCGCCUCUAGAAAUUACAACUCGGACUGUAAAACAGCCAGAUUACAAAUUUGAGCUAUGCCUGCUUCGCUCGCCGCUACUGAAGGCAUCCUAGUUAGUUUCUUUUCCUCCGCUUUUAAAAUUUGAAA
Molecule: ribosomal RNA, 580 nt
Filed under: Protomyces inouyei
Lineage: Eukaryota; Fungi; Ascomycota; Taphrinomycetes; Taphrinales; Protomycetaceae
Description: partial 28S ribosomal RNA
Source: RNAcentral